Long non-coding RNA from Carassius gibelio (silver crucian carp), 928 nucleotides. RefSeq lists it as uncharacterized. The record is from RefSeq and is a predicted model, not a curated record. The transcript has 3 exons. NCBI's taxonomy places the organism in Eukaryota, Metazoa, Chordata, Actinopteri, Cypriniformes, Cyprinidae.
GUGCAGACAACCUUCUGGUGGCGCUUGCCUGUGCGUGUAAGCAUGAGCAGACAGGAAAUAGAGGUCAGAGGUUUCUUUGAUGAUGAGGGUGUCUAAGGUGGAAACAUCAAAACAAACACAGGUUAGAUUCAUCACCUUUCAUAGCGGCAGAAGACUGCCUAGACUUUACUACAACAUAUUUUACUGGUUACAGGCACAUUUCUCCAUCGUAGGGCUUCUGUUGAUGAUGAGACACAGGAAAACCAAUGAUGUCUCCCAGUUGCUGGUUCCAGGUGGAAAUGACUUCUUGAAUCUGACGGAAUGACCUGUGGGUUGAUAAAAUCACUUCAUUUAACCUGGAGAACUGCAACUGUGAACAAAAAUUAAGAUGUAUUAAGUGUAUGUGUGUGCGCGUGUGUGUUUUCAAGUUUUAAGAUCAUUUUCAGUUCCAACAUUACAAUAUUAGGCCUCAUUAAAAAUGUAAAUGUGUUUUUAUAUUUUCCCCCUGAAUGUUUUAAUUAACAUAAUUUAACAUGCAUAGUUAAAGAUUUGCGUACUUCAUUGUAAUGCAAUCUUUUUUUGAGUUGUAGCAAAAUGAUGGCCCGAUGUGUAUUUGAAAGGACGAUCUAAGGAAUUCUAAUGGUGUUCUCAGUUUAACAGUGAGGUCGUUGUACUUGUCCCUAAUUUAAGGUCAUUCACAGACCUGCAGGCCAUUGUUGGAACACUAGAUGGAGCUCCUUACCUUGCAAACAAUAGUAUGAUCCCGUUAACGUUCAGCUGUUCUAUUGCCUAUAUUUAUUUACUGUUCAGUACACUUUACAAUAUUCAUUUAAACUUCGCGAUGAUUCUGUUUGCUCAAAUUAUCAUUAUAAUAUAAUUUCUGAUGUCUAGUAGAGACUAUGAGCACUCAGCCUAUUUCUAAACAGUUAGGAUAACAGACAGUCUCUUG